Molecule: ribosomal RNA, 203 nt
Filed under: Clostridioides difficile
Lineage: Bacteria; Bacillati; Bacillota; Clostridia; Peptostreptococcales; Peptostreptococcaceae
Description: partial 23S ribosomal RNA
Rfam family: Bacterial large subunit ribosomal RNA
Source: RNAcentral
GAAACCCUGUGGGAAGCAGGAGGGACCACCCUCCAAGGCUAAAUACUACCUAGUGACCGAUAGCGUAUAGUACCGGGAGGGCAAGGUGAAAAGAACCCCGGGAGGGGAGUGAUAUAGAACCUGAAACCCUGCACUUACAAGCUGUGGAAGCACAUUUCUUGUGUGACCGCGUACUUUUUGUAGAACGGGCCAACGAGUUACGU